CCCCAUCCCCUUCCUUCAUCAAUUCCCAACCCAGGACUUGAAAAAAAAUCAUAAAAUUUGCAAAAACUAGACACACAGUCAAGUUCCAAACAGCACAAACAAGAAUACAAUUAUCAGAAAACAAAAUAACAAAGAUCAAUAAAACACUUUUUUUUUUAAUCAAAAUUUCAAAGAAUUCCGAAAAUUUCAGAACUUUUCUCUCAAAGGAAUCACACAAGAUUUUCAGAUUCAAGCCCAAUUCAACCUCAAUAGCACCAUAUCAAGAUCAAUAUAUUCAAUCCGAAAUUCCUUCAAAUAUUCUAAUUUCUAAAAAUAAUCAGUACAAAAAUCCUUAAUAUUCAAUGAAGAAGGUGACCGGUGCAAAUAAUCAGUUACAAACUAUGAAAAAGAAUAAAAGGAAAUGACCACAGACAAGCAGAGCGGCAACAACGGCGAGGGGUGGCGACGAGGGUCCAGAGGAUUGACUACAACGAGUGCCACAAAGAAGAUGAUCUUGAACCUCGAACCAGAAUUGGAACGACACCGUUUACGACCUCGAAGCGCAGAUCUGGAAUCUAUAAGCUCAAAUCUCAGAUUGUAACACAGAUCUAGUACCUCGAAACUAUUGGUGGUUGGAGAUCGACCUUGGAGGAGAUACGUGGCUUGCGAUCGGCGUUGGCGGAGGAUAAGGAAUGCAAUCGUCGCGGACGAGGUCGGAGAGCUUGAGGCGGUGGCAGGGCGUGUGCGGCGUAGAACCCAGGCAAAGCAAACUUCGCGUGGUGGUGGCGGAGAAGGGGUGGAGAAGGAGGUGGUGUUUUUCAAACCUAACACGGCAGGAGUGGGGCCGGGGUUGACGGUGGCGCUGUCGACGUCGCAGAAGCCGGUGAUGGGAGGCCUCCGGGAUUAGGGAUUCAGAUUGGGGUAAGAAGGAUGAGAAGGGUUGUUUUUGACAUUUCACUUAAAGAGUGGGGGCGAGUGUAAUCCCAACAGAUAAGAAAAGAAAGAAAUUCUAUCCUCAUCUCUGUUAUUUUCUUUACUCCUAAUGACACGUGUAUCAAGUAACUGGACUUAUGGGCCUGAGGGCUCUAUUUAUUUAUCCCCUAUAAAGGGCACCAGUUAGUUCAAUCUGAUGUCUAACCUAAUUUGGAUACAUGCCUUUUAUUGCAGCUGCCGUCCGUGCACAGAGGAGUCUUAGGAGGAACAACUGUAGAGAAAAGGAUCUGCCAAAUUCGCUAGAAAAUUCACCGGAAACACCACCCGUUAUCCAAUUAAACGAGAUUUUUGGAUCAUUUGUGAAGUUGAAUUGCUAUCCAACUGCUAUUCCCAUUUCUAAACCUUGUUACACGAGCAUCUUGAUCAAUGGUCUAGAAAGGGAAAUAGCAGUUGAGUGGUGCUUCAACGAUAAGUUAUUCGAUUUAGUAUUUAUCUUAGCCUGUUUUCGUGUACUUUGUUUUGCCGGAUGGAGAUCUAAUAGCUAUGAAGCACCGAUACCAGACACGACACGGUCACGUGACACAUGUAAUGUCUAAAAUAUUAAAAAUAUAGAACGUAAUACGAGUGUCGUGUUGGUGUUGGACACUGAUAGGGACGCGUGUCAGACACCGGACACGACAAGGGACUGAAAUGUUCAUGCUUCAUAGUCUAAUAGAAUCGUUUAUGUUUGAGAUCUUGUUGAUGAGAGGCAGAUAGAGGUCAACUUGCCAAUAUGAUAACCUACAGUUCUAUAUUAGAUGCUUUGUGCAAAAACGAUCAUCCAAAGGCUAUUGGAUUAUUCAAGAAAACUAAAGACCAAGGAGUUCAAAACCGCCUAUGUACACAUCCACGAUACUUAUGGAUGGAUUGUGCGAAGUGGAAGACUUCAGAAUGCAAAAAUGAUUUUUCAGGAUCUACUGAUUAAAGGCUAUCAACUAAGUGUCUGUCUGUACUCUGUAUAAUGUUAUGAUUUGUAAAGAGGGAUUUUUUGAUGAAGCAUUGAUCUAGAAAUCUAAAAUGGAAAACAGAUCUUAAAGAAGAUACACUGUGUAAAUGUGUAAUGGCACUGGCACUCGCGUGUGUGAUUAAAAGUCAUAUAUGGUUUAAGAUACUUUUUUUUAUAAAGAUAGUAGUGGUCAAUUUUUCGAUAUUACACAAGUGUUUCUUUUUCUUCUCAUUGUACUGUAGAUCUGAUUUACUUUCAAUGAUUGUUUAAGUCACUGGUGUAAUUGUUUGUGUUUCAAAUAUCAAACCAAGCUGAAACUGACAUGAUGAUGA
Molecule: long non-coding RNA, 2229 nt
Organism: Glycine soja
Lineage: Eukaryota; Viridiplantae; Streptophyta; Magnoliopsida; Fabales; Fabaceae
Exons: 2
Source: RefSeq, a predicted model, not a curated record